This 253-nucleotide ribosomal RNA is filed under the name uncultured bacterium. RNAcentral describes it as "partial 16S ribosomal RNA". It matches the Rfam family "Bacterial small subunit ribosomal RNA", at positions 524 to 776 of the family's 1533-position model. The record is from RNAcentral.
GACGAACCGUGCGAACGUUGUUCGGAAUCACUGGGCUUAAAGGGCGCGUAGGCGGUCUAUCAAGUCGGGGGUGAAAUCUUUCGGCUCAACCGGAAAACUGCCUUUGAUACUGAUAGGCUGGAGGGAGGUAGGGGUUGCGGGAACUACCAGUGGAGCGGUGAAAUGCGUUGAUAUUGGUAGGAACGCCGGUGGCGAAAGCGCGCAACUGGACCUUUUCUGACGCUGAGGCGCGAAAGCUAGGGGAGCAAACGGG